RNAcentral lists this ribosomal RNA (446 nucleotides) under uncultured bacterium. RNAcentral describes it as "bacterial SSU rRNA". It matches the Rfam family "Bacterial small subunit ribosomal RNA", at positions 329 to 792 of the family's 1533-position model. The record is from RNAcentral.
UGCCAGACUCCUACGGGAGGCAGCAGUGGGGGAUAUUGCACAAUGGGGGAAACCCUGAUGCAGCGACGCCGCGUGGGUGAAGAAGCGCCUCGGUGCGUAAAGCCCUAUCGGCAGGGAAGAAACAGACGGUACCUGACUAAGAAGCCCCGGCUAACUACGUGCCAGCAGCCGCGGUAAUACGUAGGGGGCAAGCGUUAUCCGGAUUCACUGGGUGUAAAGGGAGCGUAGACGGCGACGCAAGUCUGGAGUGAAAGCCCGGGGCCCAACCCCGGGACUGCUCUGGAAACUGCGUCGCUGGAGUGCGGGAGGGGCAGGCGGAAUUCCUGGUGUAGCGGUGAAAUGCGUAGAUAUCAGGAGGAACACCGGCGGCGAAGGCGGCCUGCUGGACCGUGACUGACGUUGAGGCUCGAGAGCGUGGGGAGCAAACAGGAUUAGAUCCCCGUGUA